RNAcentral lists this ribosomal RNA (253 nucleotides) under uncultured bacterium. Its description in RNAcentral is "partial 16S ribosomal RNA". It matches the Rfam family "Bacterial small subunit ribosomal RNA", at positions 524 to 776 of the family's 1533-position model. The record is from RNAcentral.
UACGUAUGGUGCAAGCGUUAUCCGGAUUUACUGGGUGUAAAGGGAGCGCAGGCGGCGCGUUAAGCCUGGUGUGAAAGCCCGCGGCCCAACCGCGGGACUGCAUUGGGAACUGGCGCGCUGGAGUGCCGGAGGGGUAGGCGGAAUUCCUAGUGUAGCGGUGAAAUGCGUAGACAUUAGGAGGAACACCAGUGGCGAAGGCGGCUCACUGGACUGUAACUGACGUUGAGGCUCGAAAGCGUGGGGAGCAAACAGG